This 230-nucleotide ribosomal RNA is filed under the name Escherichia coli. RNAcentral describes it as "partial 16S ribosomal RNA". It matches the Rfam family "Bacterial small subunit ribosomal RNA", at positions 61 to 287 of the family's 1533-position model. Lineage: Bacteria; Pseudomonadati; Pseudomonadota; Gammaproteobacteria; Enterobacterales; Enterobacteriaceae. The record is from RNAcentral.
GUCGAACGGUAACAGGAAGCAGCUUGCUGCUUUGCUGACGAGUGGCGGACGGGUGAGUAAUGUCUGGGAAACUGCCUGAUGGAGGGGGAUAACUACUGGAAACGGUAGCUAAUACCGCAUAACGUCGCAAGACCAAAGAGGGGGACCUUCGGGCCUCUUGCCAUCGGAUGUGCCCAGAUGGGAUUAGCUAGUAGGUGGGGUAAAGGCUCACCUAGGCGACGAUCCCUAGC